Molecule: transfer-messenger RNA, 363 nt
Filed under: Lactobacillales bacterium
Lineage: Bacteria; Bacillati; Bacillota; Bacilli; Lactobacillales
Rfam family: transfer-messenger RNA
About the family: Bacterial tmRNA, also known as 10Sa RNA or SsrA, is named for its dual tRNA and mRNA-like properties. Its role is to liberate the mRNA from a stalled ribosome.
Source: RNAcentral
GGGGCCGUUACGGAUUCGACAGGCAUAGUUUGAGCUUGAAUUGCGUUUCGUAGGUUACGUCUACGUUAAAACGUUACAGUUAAAUAUAACUGCUAAAAACGAAAACACUUACGCUUUAGCUGCCUAAAAACCAGCUAGCGUGAUCGCCCCGGUAUCGCCCAUGUACUCGGGUAGCGGUCUAAUCUCAGUGGGAUACGAUAAACUUUUCCGUCUGCAAAGUUUGUAAGAGUUCAUCAGACUAGCAAAUAGAGACGCCUGUUGUGCGGCAGCUCUAGGAGCAAAAUUUUAAUAGUACAACUAUGAGCGUAGAUAUUGAAGUGGCAAUGUGUUUGGACGCGAGUUCGACUCUCGCCGGUUCCAUAU